Molecule: long non-coding RNA, 1080 nt
Filed under: Nicotiana benthamiana
Lineage: Eukaryota; Viridiplantae; Streptophyta; Magnoliopsida; Solanales; Solanaceae
Description: long non-coding RNA (NBEN_LNC041104)
Source: RNAcentral
AAAUUUUAACUAAGAUUAAUUUAAUCAAACUACUUUUUUCUCUCUAUGAGUUAAUAUUUUCUUAAGCGUGUCAAAGACAAAAAUAUCCCCUUUUGUUUUUGUUUUUCUUAUUUCCAAUUUCCUCCUAUAAACUUAAAACGUCAAAUGUCCAGUCUUUCACCAUUUUAAUCCAAAAAUUCACUGGAAAUUUCAACUGUAAAAACACUUCAAUCAAACAUAUUUAUUCACCUUAUAUUUAAAAGCUAUAAAAUCUGAAAUUUCAAAACAGAAGAGGCAGCAAAUUAAAAGGAAAAAAAACGUAACUUCAUUAAACCAAUUUCGGAACUAUUGUUCCUUUUUUAUUUCGGUAUAUUGAGGCUCAGAUCUGUGAUAAAAUCAGGGCAAAGGAGACACAGCAACCGCCAUGGCUGCAAACCUCAGUUGCACUAUAAUAAAAUAGGCCUUCCGGUUUGCCCCGCCAAGAUACGGGCCGCUCCAUUGACCCGACGCGAACUCUAGACGACACCUUAAUCAUCACAGCCUCUCAUCCGUUACAGUAACAAUAAAUCACUUAAUUGGAUCGGAGGGAGUAAUAAUAAUAAUAAUAAUAAUAAUAACAAUAACGAAGAUGAUGAUGAUGAUGAGGAAGAAGCAGAAGCAGAAGCAGAAGGAUAGAUCUGGCAACUUCAGCUGUCUCCGUAUAUAUACAUAUAUAUACAUAUAUAUAUACACACACGUGUGUGUGUUUCAGAUCUUAAGCUUAACCAAACAGACCCUUAAGAUGACUGGUGGUUUAUUAGAGCCGCGUUUGGUGAGAAUGGAAAAGGAAAUCGUAGGCAGAAAACAGAGAGAGGGCAACCACCAUUAGAGACUCCCAACAACCUCUCUGCGGCCUCAUUCUUUCCGUCUAGACUUCAUUUACACAGAAUCGGUUUCGUCGCGGAGAGGAUAUUUAUAGCAGUACCCUAUGGUAUCUGUAUUUACAUGUAUGACCUUAGUUUUACCCGGUAUUUGCAAAAGCUGAACACUGGAAUGAUACAGUUUGUAAGGGUAAUUUCGUCAGUCUAAGCUCAAACUUAUCCUUAAAACUUUUUAUCUUUG